This 253-nucleotide ribosomal RNA is filed under the name uncultured bacterium. Its description in RNAcentral is "partial 16S ribosomal RNA". It matches the Rfam family "Bacterial small subunit ribosomal RNA", at positions 524 to 776 of the family's 1533-position model. The record is from RNAcentral.
GACAGAGGGGGCAAGCGUUGCUCGGAAUUACUGGGCGUAAAGCGUGCGCAGGCGGUUCGUUGUGUCGGCGGUGAAAGCCCCGGGCUCAACCUGGGAAUGGCCGUUGAAACUGGCGAACUGGAGUGUGGCAGAGGGGGGUGGAAUUCCGCGUGUAGCAGUGAAAUGCGUAGAGAUGCGGAGGAACACCGAUGGCGAAGGCAGCCCCCUGGGCUGACACUGACGCUCAGGCACGAAAGCGUGGGGAGCAAACAGG